GGGAAGGCGAGAGACACGGAGAGGGAGAGAGAGAGUUGCUGUAUUCCAGCAGGCUCACUAGGUACAAAUGGAAACGGAUUCACAAUCUGCUGCUCUCCUCUCCUCGUUCUCAGUGGGCACGUGGACCCGUAAGCACAGCGCCGGGAUACCUGACACGUAACGGACGUCAGUGUGUCAGAUUGUUAACCCUUUAACGGGCUGGCGGGUGAUAUGACCGAGCUCGGGUCUUGUAUCUGUCCGUUGCUCCGUGCGCACAGCAAACAUCCCACAUGAGCAGGAAUGAAAAAUGGCUGACGGCAGGUCCACCACAGCCCAGUCAUCUGGCACUGUGGGACCGGAGCCACGACUCUGAUUAAGCACAGAUGUAAAAGCACGGCGUCCCAGCUUCAUUGACCCCGGGACCAAAACCUGCUCUCCGGCCAGCUGCACGUAUCUCAACGUCACAACAUAAGACGGUGGCCCAGAAAGUACAAGAAUCAGCGUUUACUCGGCUGCAGUGACGUCUCACUGAUUUGUUUCCCUGAUGAGAGCUGAAACGCAGACUGAACAGCCUCGGCUUGUGGUCCACACAGCCUGCCAGUACUGCCGCUCCGCCCUGACGGAGAAGAACCAGACUCACUCCAAACUAAACAACCAAAGGGAGAAUAAAUAAGGGCUGGUCUUUAAAUGCCACACGGACUUGAAGGCUAAAGCAGUGACAGAUAACAGGCGUGAACUGCGUAGCACCUGUAGAGUCAAAGAUGUGCUCCUGAACGUGGGGUCCUUUCAGUUGCAGAUCAGAGCGCGCCCUCUAGUGGCCGGAUGGCAGAACAGCUGAAGCUCGAAGACCAUCACCGACCACAGUCUGUGAGCGGUCAAAGCCACCAUCCGUACUGCAUGUGCUCAUUUCUCUCGUUUAGUUUUGCUCCAGUCUGUAUUAGUAGAAAAUAUAUUUUUUUGUUCGGGCCACAUUUUGCACGACGCAGGACAGAAGAAAUAAACUACGGAACAAACUAAAUUAAUUAAUUGAUUAGUAGAUAAACGGAAUAAUCAGAAAGGGAAAAUUUAAUCUCUUUCAGCUUCUCACAUGUGAAGGUUUGCUGCUUUUCUCUUUUGGACAUUUUACAGACAAAACAUUCAUUUACUCAGAAAAGACUCAUCAUCACUCUUAAAAACAUUAAAACGGUGCGAACGUGUAAAAACUCCACGAAAGUACCAGAUGUUCAGAAAAUCAUUUUGCUUCCUCUUUGGGAUGUUCCACUGGCUGUGACUUGAUUCAUGUCCUCUGAUACACAUCUGCUGUCACAAAGACGCAGACCGUCAGUGUGUAGUUUGGAUUUGGGACACAUGCCGGUAUAAUUCUUCAUUAAAGUCUGUACAGACUCUCAGAGGGCUCAGUGACUCCACAGAGAAAACACACUCGUUUUUAAACAGCAUUUAUUUAGCUUUCUCCAUACAAUACAUUUAAUGUACAACAGCACAUACUGUAUUCUGAAAUAACUCUCAGUAUAAAAUAGGGCUUCUACAAUCAAGGUACAGUCAUAAAAUGCUCUGAGGGACAUGACGACGACGACGACAGUAAAACACCUUCAUAUAAAGCGCAGGAUCUUGAGAGAAGUGAUUGUAUUUGCUGAGCUGCUGCUGUAGGAAGCAGAACUUCACACCACAACCUCUCAGAGCAUCCGACAUCCUGCAAGAACCCGUUUUGUUUUGCUUUUCCUCUCGGUUCUUGUUUCACAACUGAGGAGAGUCCGAACGAUGAUCAACGCAUAAGAACAUGAUCUGAUACAACUGCCGAAAAUAAAAAGUCGUGGUGAUAUGAGAGGAUAAAUCAGGCCUUGUUUGGAUACUUAAUAUAUAGCGAGGUCAAAGCGUACACCGUAUUAUGACUGCUAAUCAAGCCUAUAUCUUCACAAUCAUAUAUUGAACCGUUUGUGAGUGUAGCUGGAUUGUUUCUGGAGUGUUUAUCCAGACAUCAAACACUUAAAACACAGCAAAAGUAUACUGUACUAAUCACUGAAGCCACAAGAAAACCAGCUUAUUUCAAACAUCAGCCAAUCAAAGAUCGUUUUAAAAAAAAGAAAAAAAAAGAUUUUCUUUUUUAUUGUCUGCAGAUGUGCAUCAGAGUGUGUGUGGGCCUAUAUAGUAUCUAUAAAUGUGUCUUUAAAUAGAAUACACGCAACACUGACCAGCUCUUGUGUUAGUUUGCUAUUACGUAGUGCUUCAGGUGCUGAAUAUACAUUAUAUAACAUGUCCAAUCGGAAUGAGAGAAGGCCUAGGAACGAGGAAACAGAAGAAGAGCCUGACAAACAUCAGGAGAGAGAAGGGAGAGAUUUGUCUCAAGUCUUGAGGUAAGCAAUGUGUUUCAGUAUAAUGCCCUACAGACAAUCAUACAGUUACAAUCAUUAAAUCUCUAUAUACAAACUUCCUGAUUUACAUACACUGUACUGCUCCUCAGUUUGAAAUUCAACAAAACUAAAAGUGAGAUCAUAUUCGCGGCGCGACGUUUUAGAAAGCGAGGACGGCAGGAAAGGGGGA
This is a long non-coding RNA of Scatophagus argus, 2517 nucleotides long. RefSeq lists it as uncharacterized. The record is from RefSeq and is a predicted model, not a curated record. The transcript has 2 exons. NCBI's taxonomy places the organism in Eukaryota, Metazoa, Chordata, Actinopteri, Scatophagidae.